Molecule: ribosomal RNA, 200 nt
Filed under: uncultured bacterium
Lineage: Bacteria
Description: partial 16S ribosomal RNA
Rfam family: Bacterial small subunit ribosomal RNA
Source: RNAcentral
AUUGAACGCUGGCGGCAUGCCUUACACAUGCAAGUCGAACGGUAACGCGGGGCAACCUGGCGACGAGUGGCGAACGGGUGAGUAAUGCAUCGGAACGUGCCCAGUCGUGGGGGAUAACGCAGCGAAAGCUGCGCUAAUACCGCAUACGAUCUAUGGAUGAAAGCGGGGGACCGUAAGGCCCCGCGCGAUUGGAGCGGCCG